Molecule: long non-coding RNA, 846 nt
Organism: Toxorhynchites rutilus septentrionalis
Lineage: Eukaryota; Metazoa; Arthropoda; Insecta; Diptera; Culicidae
Exons: 5
Source: RefSeq, a predicted model, not a curated record
UGUUUUGGUUCGGUAUAUCACACACUUGCAUCAAUCCAAACGUCGAAAAACCAUCAACAAUGGCUACUUCACUCUGCGAAACAAUUCGCUCAGGUUGAAAUCACCUGGCACGAGCACCGUGUCACCCGGCCGAAUGACGUCGAUGACGGAGCCAACAAACGCAACGAACGACUGAUAUCGAGAAAUAUUCGAGCUCGAGCAAACUCCGUGCUGACGAUAGAAUGAUGAACCGCAACAAGCACCCCUCCGCCGGACCGUUUAUCGCUGUUGAGUGAAUUUCUGUCGCAGCGAUAGACCGAAAAACACGAAGGAAACAACAAACCAUCUUGCACAGCAGAAUCCAAGGUUUCCCACGUUCAACGGACCAACAGGACGACACUCUAUGCGAUCACUCACAACAGACAGAAUUCCUCACACAAAUCAUUGUUACUGCUGCAUCGCCACCGUGGACUGAAUGGGAGCAGCGAGCGGUGUGGAGAAACAGUCACGCUGCUGUGAGGAACUAUCUCGUUGCCGCUCGUCUCGAAAAAUUGUAUUCCGCUCGGCACCCACAAACUCACGGAAAUAAAUUCCCCUUUGCCAGCUUGAUGGCUGCAUUGCCUUUUCUUUCCACUUCAUUGCAACUCCAAUCUUAAAUGAUAUGAAGGAGAGUUGGUUGAGAUCAACCCCUCUUCGGACCAACUUUAUUACUUCCACAGGUUCAUUCAUUUCAAGAUUCCGUUUUACCAAACUCGAGACUUCCUCCACAAUGGCGUGUGGAGAAAAUCUCGACAAGAACAGCCAAAAUUUAGGCUCUCGUGCAGCGGUGUGCACGAUUGGAACAGACAAAGCGGGAUCUGGCUCUUU